UGGGGAAUAUUGCACAAUGGGGGAAACCCUGAUGCAGCGACGCCGCGUGGAGGAAGAAGGUCUUCGGAUUGUAAACUCCUGUUGUUGGGGAAGAUAAUGACGGUACCCAACAAGGAAGUGACGGCUAACUACGUGCCAGCAGCCGCGGUAAAACGUAGGUCACAAGCGUUGUCCGGAAUUACUGGGUGUAAAGGGAGCGCAGGCGGGAAGACAAGUUGGAAGUGAAAUCUAUGGGCUCAACCCAUAAACUGCUUUCAAAACUGUUUUUCUUGAGUAGUGCAGAGGUAGGCGGAAUUCCCGGUGUAGCGGUGGAAUGCGUAGAUAUCGGGAGGAACACCAGUGGCGAAGGCGGCCUACUGGGCACCAACUGACGCUGAGGCUCGAAAGUGUGGGUAGCAAACAGGAUUAGAUACCCUGGUAGUCCACACCGUAAACGAUGAUUACUAGGUGUUGGAGGAUUGACCCCUUCAGUGCCGCAGUUAACACAAUAAGUAAUCCACCUGGGGAGUACGACCGCAAGGUUGAAACUCAAAGGAAUUGACGGGGGCCCGCACAAGCAGUGGAGUAUGUGGUUUAAUUCGAUGCAACGCGAAGAACCUUACCAAGUCUUGACAUCCCUUGACAGGCAUAGAAAUAUGUUUUCUCUUCGGAGCAAGGAGACAGGUGGUGCAUGGUUGUCGUCAGCUCGUGUCGUGAGAUGUUGGGUUAAGUCCCGCAACGAGCGCAACCCUUAUGGUCAGUUACUACGCAAGAGGACUCCGGCCAGACUGCCGUUGACAAAACGGAGGAAGGUGGGGAUGACGUCAAAUCAUCAUGCCCUUUAUGACUUGGGCUACACACGUACUACAAUGGCGUUAAACAAAGAGAAGCAAGACCGCGAGGUGGAGCAAAACUCAGAAACAACGUCCCAGUUCGGACUGCAGGCUGCAACUCGCCUGCACGAAGUCGGAAUUGCUAGUAAUCGUGGAUCAGCAUGCCACGGUGAAUACGUUCCC
This 995-nucleotide ribosomal RNA is filed under the name uncultured organism. RNAcentral describes it as "bacterial SSU rRNA". It matches the Rfam family "Bacterial small subunit ribosomal RNA", at positions 355 to 1375 of the family's 1533-position model. The record is from RNAcentral.